This 705-nucleotide small RNA is filed under the name Ralstonia solanacearum. RNAcentral describes it as "bacterial SSU rRNA". The stretch from base 1 to 515 matches the Rfam family "Bacterial small subunit ribosomal RNA", at positions 1014 to 1533 of the family's 1533-position model. Lineage: Bacteria; Pseudomonadati; Pseudomonadota; Betaproteobacteria; Burkholderiales; Burkholderiaceae. The record is from RNAcentral.
UGGGUUUUACUUUACUUGCGAAAGCGUGCACUCAUGACUGUCGUCAGCUCGUGUCGUGAGAUGUUGGGUUAAGUCCCGCAACGAGCGCAACCCUUGUCUCUAGUUGCUACGAAAGGGCACUCUAGAGAGACUGCCGGUGACAAACCGGAGGAAGGUGGGGAUGACGUCAAGUCCUCAUGGCCCUUAUGGGUAGGGCUUCACACGUCAUACAAUGGUGCAUACAGAGGGUUGCCAAGCCGCGAGGUGGAGCUAAUCCCAGAAAAUGCAUCGUAGUCCGGAUCGUAGUCUGCAACUCGACUACGUGAAGCUGGAAUCGCUAGUAAUCGCGGAUCAGCAUGCCGCGGUGAAUACGUUCCCGGGUCUUGUACACACCGCCCGUCACACCAUGGGAGUGGGCUUUACCAGAAGUAGUUAGCCUAACCGCAAGGAGGGCGAUUACCACGGUAGGGUUCAUGACUGGGGUGAAGUCGUAACAAGGUAGCCGUAUCGGAAGGUGCGGCUGGAUCACCUCCUUUAAGAGCGUGCAUCCUAGUUAGGCGUCCACACUUAUCGGUUUGUUUGAUGUUACAGCCAAGGGUCUGUAGCUCAGGUGGUUAGAGCACCGUCUUGAUAAGGCGGGGGUCGUAGGUUCAAGUCCUACCAGACCCACCAAGUUACGGACGGUGGAAGUUCCCCGGGCCUUUUGGGGGAAUUUUUUUUUUCGCG